GAGGGAAUAGCUCAGUGGUACAGCACAUGCUUAGCACGCACAAGGUCCUGGGUUCAAUCCCCAGUACCUCCA
This 72-nucleotide transfer RNA is filed under the name Camelus bactrianus (Bactrian camel). It matches the Rfam family "tRNA". Rfam says of the family: Transfer RNA (tRNA) molecules are approximately 80 nucleotides in length. Their secondary structure includes four short double-helical elements and three loops (D, anti-codon, and T loops). The record is from Rfam by way of RNAcentral. RNAcentral also lists the same sequence under 2 other names. Lineage: Eukaryota; Metazoa; Chordata; Mammalia; Artiodactyla; Camelidae.